CUGUCGCUCCGCCUCUCUUGGUGAUAUCGACAGUCGGACGAGGAGGGCUAUUGCCCCGCCUCUCGCACUUUUUGAACUGCCGCUCUUCCGUCCUCCUCAGUUUUUUUGCUUCUCCGGUGGUAUUUGAUAAUUUCCUUUUAGAAC
This is a non-coding RNA of Caenorhabditis elegans, 144 nucleotides long. Lineage: Eukaryota; Metazoa; Nematoda; Chromadorea; Rhabditida; Rhabditidae. The record is from Ensembl.